GUGGAUUAGAUACCCUGGUAGUCCACGCCCUAAACGAUGCGAACUAGGUGUUGGGGAAGGAGACUUUCUUAGUACCGCAGCUAACGCGUGAAGUUCGCCGCCUGGGGAGUACGGUCGCAAGAUUAAAACUCAAAGGAAUUGACGGGGACCCGCACAAGCGGUGGAUGAUGUGGAUUAAUUCGAUGCAACGCGAAAAACCUUACCUACCCUUGACAUGCCUGGAAUCCUGCAGAGAUGUGGGAGUGCUCGAAAGAGAGCCGGGACACAGGUGCUGCAUGGCUGUCGACAGCU
This 291-nucleotide ribosomal RNA is filed under the name uncultured bacterium. RNAcentral's name for it is "partial 16S ribosomal RNA". It matches the Rfam family "Bacterial small subunit ribosomal RNA", at positions 773 to 1060 of the family's 1533-position model. The record is from RNAcentral.